Non-coding RNA from Thiobacillus sp. SCN 64-35, 100 nucleotides. The record is from Rfam. Lineage: Bacteria; Pseudomonadati; Pseudomonadota; Betaproteobacteria; Nitrosomonadales; Thiobacillaceae.
GGUGCAUCAAGCCAUACCUGUCGCAAGGCAGGGACGGAAAUACCAGGAUCCGCGUUGGCCUUGGGAGAGGCACAACGAACGCGGACGGCCGGUUGCCCAG